Molecule: ribosomal RNA, 491 nt
Filed under: uncultured bacterium
Lineage: Bacteria
Description: partial 16S ribosomal RNA
Rfam family: Bacterial small subunit ribosomal RNA
Source: RNAcentral
AGUGAACGCUGGCGGUAGGCCUAACACAUGCCAGUCGAACGGCAGCACAGUAAGAGCUUGCUCUUACGGGUGGCGAGUGGCGGACGGGUGAGGAAUACAUCGGAAUCUACUUUUUCGUGGGGGAUAACGUAGGGAAACUUACGCUAAUACCGCAUACGACCUACGGGUGAAAGCAGGGGAUCUUCGGACCUUGCGCGAUUGAAUGAGCCGAUGUCGGAUUAGCUAGUUGGCGGGGUAAAGGCCCACCAAGGCGACGAUCCGUAGCUGGUCUGAGAGGAUGAUCAGCCACACUGGAACUGAGAAACGGUCCAGACUCCUACGGGAGGCAGCAGUGGGGAAUAUUGGACAAUGGGCGCAAGCCUGAUCCAGCCAUACCGCGUGGGUGAAGAAGGCCUUCGGGUUGUAAAGCCCUUUUGUUGGGAAAGAAAAGCAGCAGGUUAAUACCCCGCUGUUCUGACGGUACCCAAAGAAUAAGCACCGGCUAACUUCGU